UACGGAGGGGGCUAGCGUUGUUCGGAAUUACUGGGCGUAAAGCGCACGUAGGCGGACCGGAAAGUCAGAGGUGAAAUCCCAGGGCUCAACCUUGGAACUGCCUUUGAAACUCCCGGUCUUGAGUUCGAGAGAGGUGAGUGGAAUUCCGAGUGUAGAGGUGAAAUUCGUAGAUAUUCGGAGGAACACCAGUGGCGAAGGCGGCUCACUGGCUCGAUACUGACGCUGAGGUGCGAAAGCGUGGGGAGCAAACAGG
RNAcentral lists this ribosomal RNA (253 nucleotides) under uncultured bacterium. RNAcentral's name for it is "partial 16S ribosomal RNA". It matches the Rfam family "Bacterial small subunit ribosomal RNA", at positions 524 to 776 of the family's 1533-position model. The record is from RNAcentral.